Dreissena polymorpha is the source of this 682-nucleotide long non-coding RNA. RefSeq lists it as uncharacterized. The transcript has 5 exons. Lineage: Eukaryota; Metazoa; Mollusca; Bivalvia; Myida; Dreissenidae. The record is from RefSeq and is a predicted model, not a curated record.
GUUUAUAUCAGCAAUUAUUCAUGCAAUUGAACUUCGGUUUGCUGGUGACCUUUACCUCUUUCAGGGGAGCCACUUCAUGAGCUUUAAGAACUGGCCAACAUGUAUCGAUAACGAACCAGACUUUGGAGAUGAAGCAGUUGCAAAAAUUGCUAGGAUCUGUGAACCCGCAUUGGUUGCACAGAAUGAGGAAAUCGACAUAGCAUCAAUAGAAAUUGAAUGGGUGCGAUUCAAGAGAGAAAUUUAUAACAGGAAGCAUUGUGAUGAUUAUGUUAGAAAGAUGUCUUGGUGUGAGCAGUGGGAGAAGCAUGAGAAGUACCCAGGUCUAUUCAGUCUAGUCAAUCUUCUACUGUCAAUCCCCUCUAGCUCGGUGGAUGCUGACCGAUGAUUUUCUAGAGUCUGAAAGUGUGGGGAAGUAUGACCCAAUAGAUGCAGUGAAUUGGUGGAACUUUGCUGGGAAAAGGUCACGAAGUCCAUACUACAAUGAUAAAAAAGCAUGCCGUAAUUCAUGAGUACGUGUGUGAUGCAGCAAAAGAGGAUGUCUUCAUGGUUGCUGAAAUUAUUUAGGAGGAUGAAAUGCAACAUGAGCAGGAACCCAGUACAGAGGACUCCGAGCCUGAAGAUUGUGACUGUGACUUUUACGGACAGGAUUUAACUUUGUUACAAAACAGAGCAUAUAAGCUGA